GACGAACGCUGGCGGCGUGCUUAACACAUGCAAGUCGAGCGAUGAAGUUCCUUCGGGAAUGGAUUAGCGGCGGACGGGCGAGUAACACGUGGGUAACCUGCCUCAUAGAGGGGAAUAGCCUUUCGAAAGGAAGAUUAAUACCGCAUAAGAUUGUAGUAUCGCAUGAUACAGCAAUUAAAGGAGUAAUCCGCUAUGAGAUGGACCCGCGUCGCAUUAGCUAGUUGGUGAGGUAACGGCUCACCAAGGCGACGAUGCGUAGCCGACCUGAGAGGGUGAUCGGCCACAUUGGGACUGAGACACGGCCCAGACUCCUACGGGAGGCAGCAGUGGGGAAUAUUGCACAAUGGGGGAAACCCUGAUGCAGCAACGCCGCGUGAGUGAUGACGGUCUUCGGAUUGCAAAACUCUGUCUUCAGGGACGAUAAUGACGGUACCUGAGGAGGAAGCCACGGCUAACUACGUGCCAGCCGCCGCGGUAA
RNAcentral lists this ribosomal RNA (478 nucleotides) under uncultured bacterium. RNAcentral's name for it is "partial 16S ribosomal RNA". It matches the Rfam family "Bacterial small subunit ribosomal RNA", at positions 28 to 523 of the family's 1533-position model. The record is from RNAcentral.